AUGGCAACACUACCUAUGGCCAAAAGUGUUUAUAAUUCACACCAACCAUGAAUCUUUGAAGCAUUUGAAAGGUUAAGGUAAGCUAAACAAGAGGCAUGCAAGAUGGAUGGAGUUCAUUUAGAUUUCACACAUGUCAUUCGGUUUAGACAAGGUAAAAGAAAAUGUAGUAGCAGAUUUUUUAUGAAGAAGGUACAUACUUUUAACCCCCUUAAGUGCUCAACUACUUGGAUUUACGUAUAUUAAGGACAUAUAAGCUAAUGGCCAAGAUUUUUCCAAUAUAAACGAAUCAUGUGAUAAAGGUACUAUGGAUAAAUCUUUAGGCAUGAUGGGUAUUGGGAAAGCAAAUUGUGCAUUCCUAAGUAUUCAAUGAGAGAAGUGUUAGUAAGAGAAGCUCAUAGUAGGGAUUUAAUAGGACAUUUUAGGGUUAAAAAGACCUUAGAUAUGCUAAGUAAACAUUUUUAUUGGCCUAAGAUAAAAAUUUGUUUGAACGGGUUUGUAGUAGACACAUCACUUGUAAAAAAGCUAAAUCUAAGGUUUUACCUCAGGUUUUGUAUACACCAUUACCUAGGUUGAUCUAUCUAUGAAUUUUGUAUUAUGUUUACCUAGGACUAUAAGGGAAGAGAUUCCAUAUUUGUGGUAAUAGAUAGGUUUAGUAAAAUGGCACACUUCAUUCCAUGUCAUAAAACUGAUAAUGCUACAAAUAUUGUAGAUCUAAUCUUUAAAAAAGUAGUGCAUAUACAUGAG
This 744-nucleotide small RNA is filed under the name Olea europaea subsp. europaea. The record is from RNAcentral. Lineage: Eukaryota; Viridiplantae; Streptophyta; Magnoliopsida; Lamiales; Oleaceae.